Molecule: ribosomal RNA, 490 nt
Filed under: uncultured bacterium
Lineage: Bacteria
Description: bacterial SSU rRNA
Rfam family: Bacterial small subunit ribosomal RNA
Source: RNAcentral
AUACGAGUUUGAUCAUGGCUCAGGAUGAACGCUAGCGGCAGGCUUAAUACAUGCAAGUCAAGGGGGUAGCAAUACAACCGGCGCACGGGUGAGUAACGCGUACACAACAUACCAUAUACUGGGGUAUAGCUUCGGGAAACUGGAGAUAAUCCCCCAUAACAUUGCGAGAGGGCAUCUGAUUGCAAUUAAAGUUUCGACGGUAUAUGAUUGGUGUGCGUUUGAUUAGCUUGUUGGUAGGGUAACGGCCUACCAAGGCGACGAUCAAUAGCUGGCGUGAGAGCGCGACCAGCCACACUGGAACUGAGACACGGUCCAGACUCCUACGGGAGGCAGCAGUAGGGAAUAUUGGACAAUGGGCGAAAGCCUGAUCCAGCCAUGCCGCGUGAUAGAUGAAGGCCCUCUGGUUGUAAAUAUCUUUAUCUGGGAAGGAAACUCCUCUAUUCUUAGAGGCCUGACGGUACCAGAGGAAUAAGCACCGGCUAACUCCGUG